Molecule: long non-coding RNA, 1126 nt
Filed under: Parus major (Great Tit)
Lineage: Eukaryota; Metazoa; Chordata; Aves; Passeriformes; Paridae
Description: lncRNA (ENSPMJG00000006859.1)
Source: RNAcentral
CCGGGCGCACACAGACCCCCGAGCACCACAGCCACCGACGGCUGCACAAGAUGGCCGCCGGGCCCGCCCCUCGGAGGCGGCCCGAGCAGGGCCCCGCCCGCGGCGGCGCGGGUAGCGCCGCGCCUGUGGGGCAGCCUUGACGAGGGGCCGCGGGUUCGCGGCACAGCCGCCUUGGAUCCCUUAGGGAAUCGGUGGUUUUCUUUCCGAAAUCACUAGUUCUAUGCCUAUCCCAUGCCACCGCCUGCAGCCGUCCCUCUGUCUUUGCGUCCACCGCGUGUCCCCUCGGGGCGUGCCCUCAGGCCAAUAAAUGGCUCACCCUCCACGCCCCUGCCCAUGCACACCCUAUUGCCUCGCCAAAGGGUAAAGAAACUAGGACCUUGAUCCUUGAUGGAGGCAGAUUUAAAUCACAGAAUGUGAAGGGGCUGGAAUAGACCUUCGGGAUCGCCCAGACCGAACCACUCCUGCCAUAGACAGAUGUCUCCCACCGGAGCAGGUUGCUCAGAGCCCCAUCCAGCCUGGCCUUCAACACUUCCCAGUUCCUGACGAAAAAUCCCUCUCCAGCUUUCCUGUAGGCUUGCUUCAGAUACUGAGAGACUGCUAUGAGGUCUCCACACAACCUUCUCUUCUCCAGGCUGAACAGCUCCGACUUUCUCAGCCUGUCUUCAUAGUGGGAAUGCUCCUGUCCUCUUACCAACUUCAUGGCCUUCCUCUGGACUUCCUCCAACAGCUCCAUGUCCAUCUUAUGAAUAAAGUGGCAGAAGAGCUACUCUUUCAGCAGUAACAACUUCCAGUAUUAUUAAGGUGUCAGCAUUUGCAUAGUCCAUGUCUGACUGUGCCACUCUCUCAACUGCAACUAGCUAGGGUCUGGUUCUGAAGCUUUUCAGGUAUCCCUGUCCUUAAAAUGUAGAUAUCCUGGGGAGAGGCAGGAUGAACAGCAGAAACUUUUAUCUAUUUCAGUAAUUGGCUGAGUUUCUCUAAUAUUUUACCAAGAGAAGAGUUCACAAAGGUUGAACAGGAGGUUUGCAGUGUAGAUAUAUGAUUACAUACAAUAUUGCAGUACUAGAAAUGUUUUUCUCCCAGGGGGUGGUUGGGCAGUGGAACGGGCCACCCAGGGAAGUGGUUGCAG